This 530-nucleotide ribosomal RNA is filed under the name Wolbachia endosymbiont of Aedes albopictus. Its description in RNAcentral is "bacterial SSU rRNA". It matches the Rfam family "Bacterial small subunit ribosomal RNA", at positions 226 to 773 of the family's 1533-position model. The record is from RNAcentral. Lineage: Bacteria; Pseudomonadati; Pseudomonadota; Alphaproteobacteria; Rickettsiales; Anaplasmataceae.
UGAGCCUAUAUUAGAUUAGCUAGUUGGUGGAGUAAUAGCCUACCAAGGCAAUGAUCUAUAGCUGAUCUGAGAGGAUGAUCAGCCACACUGGAACUGAGAUACGGUCCAGACUCCUACGGGAGGCAGCAGUGGGGAAUAUUGGACAAUGGGCGAAAGCCUGAUCCAGCCAUGCCGCAUGAGUGAAGAAGGCCUUUGGGUUGUAAAGCUCUUUUAGUGAGGAAGAUAAUGACGGUACUCACAGAAGAAGUCCUGGCUAACUCCGUGCCAGCAGCCGCGGUAAUACGGAGAGGGCUAGCGUUAUUCGGAAUUAUUGGGCGUAAAGGGCGCGUAGGCUGGUUAAUAAGUUAAAAGUGAAAUCCCGAGGCUUAACCUUGGAAUUGCUUUUAAAACUAUUAAUCUAGAGAUUGAAAGAGGAUAGAGGAAUUCCUGAUGUAGAGGUAAAAUUCGUAAAUAUUAGGAGGAACACCAGUGGCGAAGGCGUCUAUCUGGUUCAAAUCUGACGCUGAAGCGCGAAGGCGUGGGGAGCAAAC